RNAcentral lists this ribosomal RNA (426 nucleotides) under Escherichia coli. RNAcentral describes it as "partial 23S ribosomal RNA". It matches the Rfam family "Bacterial large subunit ribosomal RNA", at positions 1293 to 1721 of the family's 2925-position model. Lineage: Bacteria; Pseudomonadati; Pseudomonadota; Gammaproteobacteria; Enterobacterales; Enterobacteriaceae. The record is from RNAcentral.
AAUGCUGACAUAAGUAACGAUAAAGCGGGUGAAAAGCCCGCUCGCCGGAAGACCAAGGGUUCCUGUCCAACGUUAAUCGGGGCAGGGUGAGUCGACCCCUAAGGCGAGGCCGAAAGGCGUAGUCGAUGGGAAACAGGUUAAUAUUCCUGUACUUGGUGUUACUGCGAAGGGGGGACGGAGAAGGCUAUGUUGGCCGGGCGACGGUUGUCCCGGUUUAAGCGUGUAGGCUGGUUUUCCAGGCAAAUCCGGAAAAUCAAGGCUGAGGCGUGAUGACGAGGCACUACGGUGCUGAAGCAACAAAUGCCCUGCUUCCAGGAAAAGCCUCUAAGCAUCAGGUAACAUCAAAUCGUACCCCAAACCGACACAGGUGGUCAGGUAGAGAAUACCAAGGCGCUUGAGAGAACUCGGGUGAAGGAACUAGGCAAA